Molecule: long non-coding RNA, 838 nt
Organism: Cyprinus carpio carpio
Lineage: Eukaryota; Metazoa; Chordata; Actinopteri; Cypriniformes; Cyprinidae
Source: Ensembl
GGUCUCUCUUGUCAACUGUUUAUCUUCAAUGGAUGACCUAGCGUUUCAGAAAGGCUAACAGGUCUUCCAUCACUAAAGUCAGGAUCAUUCCUGUAUCUCCAUCCAGUGUGAAAUAUCAAUCUGUGAACCACGAUGCUGGAAGUGAAAAAGGCUCCCAUUUGCAAAGAAAGUCAAGACAUAUAGUAUUUCCUCCAUGCUGUCUAUGCAGCUAAUGGAAUAUAGCUAUUGGUCCAGAGCAAGGCAUAUCAUUCAUUGUCUCAUCCUACCCCACUGGAUCAAUACUAAUUGCAUGCGAAAUGUAUAUUCAUCUCCUGGAUUUUGACAGCUGUCCAUGAUGAGAGAUACACAAGGUCAUAUGAAUAUGAAGAAUUUUAAAAUUCUGAGGGCUUUCCAAACAGCAUAGUUGAUGCCUACGCAUGGGACUUCUAAGGGAGAACACUACUGCCAGCCGUAUUAUGGGGUCGUUCCAAAAAGAAGUGCUAAAAAAGUACUUCAAAAGGUUUUCGAAGAGUUCAACUGUUGGGCACUUUGCUCUCAAGACAAGAUUCUUUGUGCUACAGGACAUCUCACUCUGAACUGAUAGUUAUAAAUCUGCUCAAAGUUUGCCAAGCGUAGCGUAAAUUAAACCACCUGCACCUGCAUGCAAACGUGCUCUGCUUCUGUAAACUAAAUGCUGUGAAAUCCCUUGCUUGCACUUGCUUUAGAAAAGUCUAUUAUGAACUUUUUAAAACUUUUCCAGAAACCUGAUUAUUGUGAAAGUGAUUGUAGGUGCUAUUACACUGUAAAUUUAAGUUGUUGUAUAAUGAAGAAGCUGAAUGGGAGAAAGUGCAUUAAAUAG